CGCUGGCGGCGUGCCUAACACAUGCAAGUCGAGCGGGGACGACACGGCGGACAGGAAGUUUCGGACAGACUGGAAGAUGUAUGUUCUAGCGGCGGACGGGUGAGUAACGCGUGAGCAACCUGUCCUCACAGGGGGAUAACACAGCGAAAGUUGUACUAAUACCGCAUAAGACCACGGCGAGACAUCUCGCAGGGGUCAAAGGAGCAAUCCGGUGAAGGGUGGGCUCGCGUCCGAUUAGAUAGUUGGUGAGGUAACGGCCCCACCAAGUCGACGAUCGGUAGCCGACCUGAGAGGGUGAUCGGCCACAUUGGGACUGAGACACGGCCCAAACUCCUACGGGAGGCAGCAGUGGGGAAUAUUGGGCAAUGGGGGAAACCCUGAACCCCCAGCAACGCCGCGUGAGGGAAGAAGGUUUUCGGAUCGUAAACCUCUGUCCUAUGUGAAGAGUAAGAGACGGUAGCAUAGGAGGAAGCCCCGGCUAACUACGUGCCAGCAGCUGC
This 500-nucleotide ribosomal RNA is filed under the name uncultured bacterium. Its description in RNAcentral is "bacterial SSU rRNA". It matches the Rfam family "Bacterial small subunit ribosomal RNA", at positions 34 to 518 of the family's 1533-position model. The record is from RNAcentral.